RNAcentral lists this long non-coding RNA (379 nucleotides) under Pongo abelii (Sumatran orangutan). Its description in RNAcentral is "lincRNA". Lineage: Eukaryota; Metazoa; Chordata; Mammalia; Primates; Hominidae. The record is from RNAcentral.
GCCUUGGAUGGAAAGUGGGCAAUUGGGUGGGGGGCUGCGGACCCCUUAACGUGGAUUACUUGGUGUGUAUCAGCUGGGCUCAGAAGACCCACGACCUCUUCUCCAUCCUUGGAUUGAUUUGUUCUGCUUAACAGCUGGGUCGCCAAGCUGGCGGUGGAAUCAGAGGUUUCUGGCUGACUCGGUGGGUGCUUUGAACCAGGAAAGGACAAGAAAGAGGAACUCUGAAAGCCACAUGUUGAGAUGGCCUCAUUACAGGAUGGAGAGCACCUGAACCCCCAAGUUAUGGACUAGAAGAAGACAUUUGCCCUGGAAAAUCAUCUGAACCACAUUGGACUUUAUGUGAGGAGGAAAUAAACCUUUAUUAUGUUAAGCUACACAA